AGGCACAAACAAGGGCACAGUGGCAGAUUGUAUUUUAUAUGUCUGCAGGUAUUUAUAUCUUCGGUGCAAUAUUCUAUGUAAUUUUUGCAAGUGGUGAACUACAGCCAUGGGCACGAGAGACUACAGAGAUCAGUAAUGAUAAUAGUUAUGAAGCCCAACCAUUAGGACCUUCGGCUCGUGAAAUCCUUGCAGGAUUUCCGACGGCUUGAUUUACCAUGCCGUACAAUUACAUGUUGUAUACGUCUUUGUUUUAUUGUUUUUGCUUUGAAUGUGAGACCUCUACACAUUAGAUAGCUUAUUUGUGGGAUACCUUUGUGUUUCUUAUAGAGCAUACCUUUUAAAGAAAACAACAUAGUUCAUUAAGUCUUUACUAUAUCAAGUAAUAUUUUUGUUAUUAAUAUCUUUAGCUUAUUAAUCAGGCUCUUAUUUGAUUAGAAGAUGUGUAACUGAACGUAUAUCUAAAGUUAAGUUAACACUAGAACGUAUAGACAUUUAUCGCACCGAGGGUAAAAUAUCAAGUUGUGAUUGGUUUAACGUCGUCACGUGGUGACCACUAUGAGACCGUAUGGGGUUAGUAAAUUUCAUAGGGGGUUUAUGACGCGUUAAUGCUGACAUUAUCUAUCGAUGUUGUUGUGUUUCAUUGUUUAUUUUUCAACAUAACGCAGCAGAAAAAGUCCAGCGUGCGAUAAAUUCGUUAUACGGUUAACUACUUACCUCCUACGGACCAUAGAGGGUGAAUAAAAUCCAUAGAGGAUUCGGCCUCCGGCCUCACCCCCUAUGAAUUUGACUAACCCUCUAUGGAUCCUUACGGGGUAAGUAACGAACUAUAUAACUUAUAACAUCACAUUGAUCACUUUAUACAAUUUAUUAUAAAAAGAAUACAGGGUCAAUAAACACGAUAAUAAUGAAUUAAGAAUAUUCAUCGGACAAAAUAUUGGAGAUUAUUUAUUAGACUUAAACCAAACUUACUACAACACAUUUGUU
RNAcentral lists this long non-coding RNA (984 nucleotides) under Mytilus galloprovincialis (Mediterranean mussel). Lineage: Eukaryota; Metazoa; Mollusca; Bivalvia; Mytilida; Mytilidae. The record is from RNAcentral.